CUCUGCCUGAAAGGAGCCUUGCUCUUACCGUGGCCUCUUACCAUGGCUGCUUGGAGGCUGUGCAUCCCUCCCUGGUUAUACAUAUGAUGCAGCUGCACAAAGAGAAGGAAGUUUGGAUCAUCAGCUCGUUUCCAGCCACACUGAGGAAGCCUUGUAGCAGAGGAUUUCUUGGAAGAUGUUUUUUUAAUUAUAGUUGUCUACAUUGUCUUUCUUUACCUGUUGGUUGUGUUGAUUUACUCACCUUGUGCCUCUCUGAGAAAAAACCCUGAAUGUUUUUUUAUCAGGGAGCUCCUAGUCCUGAGGGCAGCGAUCUGCCUGCUCCAUGGUGAGCUGUGAUGACUCUUGCCUGCGGGAUGUUGAUCAUCUUUAAUUGCUGCUGCGUCAGCAGUCACAUCAGGCUGCCUCAGAUGCCAGUAUGAGACUUUAUUGACAGAAGGCGCAGUUUUGUAAUCCCUGCAAAUCCCCCCUUCACCUGAGCCCUUUGCGCUCACAGUCUGGAUUUACCAACCAUCUGUGAAGAGCUUUCAGAGGAUAAAAGCAGCAUUAAUGUUUUGACCCCAGUGACGGCAUCACUUGCCUGUGAUCCCUAAGAGCCCAGUUCAGCAGGAGCUCAGAGCUUAGUCUGUCUUCUGUGUUUGCUGAUACUCAGCGUUGCAGAUUGCCAAGGGACUCGCUGGUAUGAGAUUAUCCAUUAGAGGAAAACUAGAGAGAAGAUUGUUCUGGAAUACAGACUGCUUCUAAAUGCUCCUGAGUGGUGUUGAAAUGGGGGGACCAGCCUCAAUGAUGUGCCUAAGAACUUGCUACAUAGAGGACUGUAAACCAUUCCAUUUCACGGGAAAUCCGCCUGACCUGGGACCAUCCCAUCUCUCCAGGAACUGCGCUUACUCUCAUAAGAUAACAAAGCAAAAGCGGUCUAACAGUAUUAGCACGUGUAUCUUGCCCAUCAUCCCAGAGUAUCCAGGCUUCCAAGACAUUAAGUUGUCAAGAAAUUAUCCAGAAACUCGAGGCUUCAACCGGCUUUUCCAGGAUUUGGAAAGACGAAAGAGCUCUUCCUCACAGCUGAACAGUUUUCCAAACACAGCUUCAUUAGCCCAUUGCUUGGGGUGCUCCUCAAGAGGCUACCCGAAAGGCCAACCGGAACACUGCACUGGCUUCCAUGACAAACCCUUGCAAGAAUAUUUCAAUGAGAGGCUGAUGGAGCUCAGGAACUACGAAAGUAAGAGAUCCAAUAGGAAGACCAAGGGAUUUCCUGACAAAAACCAGAACCCCUUCCUCGCCCGCAGAGGAUCUCGGCGCAGAAGCAGUUGCGGUGCUGUGGUAAUGGUUGGGUAUAACAAGGAGACAGAAGAAUCCUGCAGCUCAGCAAAUCAAGAAAACAAAAAAGCAAUAGAACACAAUGGUCAAAAGGAAACCCAGAAUGUCGUGGACCUCUACAAGGGUGGCUUUUUGGACAUUUUGACAACGCACAUUGCUGCUCCUCUAGAAGCAUUUGUGCAAAAAAAGUAA
RNAcentral lists this long non-coding RNA (1506 nucleotides) under Numida meleagris (helmeted guineafowl). Its description in RNAcentral is "lncRNA (ENSNMEG00000012833.1)". Lineage: Eukaryota; Metazoa; Chordata; Aves; Galliformes; Numididae. The record is from RNAcentral.